Molecule: ribosomal RNA, 394 nt
Filed under: uncultured bacterium
Lineage: Bacteria
Description: partial 16S ribosomal RNA
Rfam family: Bacterial small subunit ribosomal RNA
Source: RNAcentral
AUACGUAGGGGACGAGCGUUGUCCGGAAUUACUGGGCGUAAAGGGCGCGCAGGCGGAUAUUUAAGUCAGCUGUAAAAGGCAUGAGCUCAACUCAUGUAUGCGGUUGAAACUGGGUAUCUAGAGUGCUGGAGAGGUAGGCGGAAUUCCCGGUGUAGCGGUGAAAUGCUUAGAUAUCGGGAAGAACACCAGGGGAGAAGGCGGAUAACGGGCGAGCAUCAGACGCAGUGGCGCGAAAGCCAGGGGAGCGAAGGGGAUUAGAUCCGCCGGUAGUACUGGCCGUAAACGAUGAAUACUAGGUGUGGGUGUCGAGAGGCAUCCGUGCCGGAGUUAACGCGAUAAGCAUUCCGCCGGGGGAGUACGAUCGCAAGAUUGAAACUCAAAGGAAUUGGCGGGU